Molecule: long non-coding RNA, 920 nt
Organism: Serinus canaria (Common canary)
Lineage: Eukaryota; Metazoa; Chordata; Aves; Passeriformes; Fringillidae
Source: Ensembl
UAAAUUGAGAAUUUCAUAGCAUUUAUUGAUCCCUAAGUUGUCCUUCUUUUCUGCAGAAAAGAAGGCCCAAACCCUACUUUUCCUACCCCUAGCUUUGCUCACUUAUUCAGAGGCACAAACUCUUUCCAAGGAGACAGAAGGCAAAGGUACCUACAGGAGAUAUCUGAAAAGGAGCUUAACUAUGAGCGUCCCACCACGUUCCCUCAUCUUCAGCAGAAACAACAGUUUGCUUCUCUCUUCAGUGAUCUACCACAGAUGGAGAGGACUGUUCCCACAGCCAGGAUAAUUCUGACACAAGAGGCUGUUAGUUGGUGAGAUGUCUUUUUAUAUUUGUCAUUGUGUAAAAUACAUCUAUUUUAAUACAUGACUGAGUGUAAAAAAAAUUAUUACCACAAGGUAAAUCAAUUGAAUGUUCUUAUAACAAAUAUGCAUUUCUAACAGAACAUUUUGUAUUAUGUUGGUGUAUUGCUCUAGAGUACUAACAAACAUCUGUUAUUAAACACAACCAAUCAAAAUCUGACUCAGUCACCCUGUAGAUAAUUUUAAAAUGCCUUAAAAUUUUUAAUUAUGCAUCCGUUGAGCACCACUUUUAAAAAUACUCAACACCAAACAGCUCUGAGUUUGGCUUAUUGACUAGUUCAAUAUAAUAUCUGAAAGACUGCAAGUGCCCUGUCACUAUUUGAACAAACCAAGGUUCUUCUACCACUUUGCUCUUUGUCCCUUUUUUUAUCACUCACAUGGCACAAUGGUUUAAGCUGCCUGGCUGUAAGAGGCACGGGAAUUUGUCAAAUGCACUGUUUGGGAAGGUAGGAUAGAAUUCCCAAGUACAUUUCUAAGGGACUAGGAAGGGAUGCAGUAGAUUGUACCUCUGGCCCAGUGUCAGGCUCAUGGAUUUUGGUCAGCUGGCUCUCUUAGUGUAC